CCACUCUAGGAGGAGACAGAUAGUGACAAAGCAACCUAGCAGACUUAUUAAUGCUAACUGUUCGAUUGGUCUUUUUUCCACUAGAAAUUAUUGCAGAUCAAGCAUCCAACAGGUUUACAUGAGAUGGAGGUUAUGUCAUCAAAAUAACAUUUCUCAUUAUCUUUGUGAUGUUUCCAUUAAUGAGAAGGAUCCUUGAGGUCAGUUCAUCUUGGUGGAGAAGGGAAUAUAAUCUAAUAUAAAGAGAUAAUAAACUG
Long non-coding RNA from Lepidothrix coronata (blue-crowned manakin), 254 nucleotides. RefSeq lists it as uncharacterized. The record is from RefSeq and is a predicted model, not a curated record. Lineage: Eukaryota; Metazoa; Chordata; Aves; Passeriformes; Pipridae. The transcript has 3 exons.